UUGUUCAAAAUUGUUACUUUUUGCGAUGUGUCAUCGCUGUCCUUCUAAUUUACAUAAAACGAGAACGUUUUCAUUUGUUGUGAAAAUAUGAAAUCGUAAGGUUGGCGCUGUUCUAAGUCAGAGCCAUCAUAGUUAUGGAAGCUACUGAAAACACCCAAUUAGUCAAACACAAUGAAGGUGUCACUCCAAGAGAUUACCAGGUAGAGCUAUUCCAAGCUGCCCUGGACGAUAACAUAAUUGUAUAUCUCCCAACUGGCUCAGGAAAGACACUGAUAGCAGCUCUUCUGAUCAAUGAAAAAUCCAAUGAAGUCACAAAGUCCUUGAAUGCAGGAGGGAGACGAACAGUGUUUCUUGUUCCCACAAUUGUUCUGGCAAUCCAACAGGCAGCUUAUUUGAGGAACCACACUUGUCUAAAAGUACAGGAAUUCUAUGGAGGAAUGGGUGUGGACUUGUGGGGUAGAGGCAAAUGGCAAAUGGAAUUUGAAAACAAUCAUGUUCUAGUGAUGACUGCCCAGAUUUUUGUUGAUAUCUUGAAUCAUGCCUUUUUUUCACCAUAUCAACUCAAUUUGCUGGUAUUUGAUGAGUGCCAUUCAGCAGUAAAAGACGCACCUAUGAGGCAAGUUCUCACGAAACUACACAGUUGCGAUGUUGCUCGACGGCCAAAAAUCCUGGGGCUCACAGCAGCUUUGUUUAGGAAGCGGUGUAAACCACGCGAAGUGCAUGGCAUAAUUAAGCAACUCUCUGAAACAAUGGGAUGCGUCGUGAGAAUUCCAUCUGACAUACAAACAGUCUACCGCUCCUCGACGAAACCUUGUGAGGUCGUCUUUCAACACGAUGACUUUGACACGGCAUUGGAUCCUGUUGCAAGAGAGUUGAGUACACUGGUACAAAGUUUACUACUGUCCUGUCGGUUGGUUGUCCAGAAUUCUCUACAGCACUUUCAAGCGGAUGGACUGUGGAAUCCAUACACCGUCCAGAAUACGGGCAAAACUGAUAUAUUAAGCGACGCCAUUAAAGACAUUGCCUUCCUAUUGGAGAACUUUGGACCCUACGGGGCUUUUCAUUGCGCACAAGUCUACAUUCCAAUUUUAGAAACAGCUAAAAUGCGUGUUAGAAAGGUUUCUGACUUUAACAAAGUGAUCACUCUCUGCUAUCAAAUACGGGAAAUUUGCGCAUCAUUUUUUGCGAAUUACUCCGCAAAAGAUCGCCUUACAGUCUUUGUUCAACCUAAUGUGAUACGGUUAUUGGACAUUAUCCGCAACUUCAGCCCAGAGCAUUGUGAUCCCGGUGAAAAAACGUUCAAAAUGUGUUGCAUCAUUUUUGUCGAACGCAGAUCAGUGGCUAGUGUCCUGUACCAUUACCUGAAGGAUAUUCGAGUACAUGAUACCACCUUGGAAUUUGUGAAGCCGUUAUUUACCAUGGGGCAGGCGGCAGCGUCCAACGCCACUCUCACAGAAUCACAAAUUCUGAACAUGAAGCAAAAAGAGAUUAUGAGAGACUUUCGGGAAGGACGUUGCAACUUGGUGGUGGCUACAAGUGUCCUGGAAGAAGGCAUUGAUAUCCCCGAAUGUAAUUUGAUUAUUCGUUUUGACAAAUUUCGAACUUAUUGCGACUACGUCCAAACCAAAGGCCGGGCCAGAUCUGUGAGAGCUUUCUAUUGUAUUUUGGUGAGUCGCAGUGAUACUGAAAAGCUUCUAGAAGAUUUGGCCCAAUUCCACUCCAUUGAACAACAGCUAGUAGCCACAAGCAACAUUGAGGAAGAUAAAGACGCUAUUCUAGACAAUAUGUUUGGUCAGAUUAUCAAACCCUAUCAACCAUUCGGCGAAGAAGGGCCACGAGUCACCUUACAGAGUAGCAUUUCACUUAUUAACAGAUACUGUAGCCAACUGGUGUCACAUGGACCUUCAGUAUUGGUUCCCACAUGGAAUAUCAAAGAAGUGGAUGAAAACCUAAUUGAUCCUUUGUUACUCCAGAGGAUAAAGGAACUAGUGAAACGGUUGCCAAUUCCGAAACCUCCUCCUAAUCAGGUGGCUACAGUUUCCUAUGGCUUGUAUCAGUGUCAACUCCUGCUACCAAAGAGCUCCCCUUUGCAAGAAGAAAUCGUUGGUGAGCCAAUGCCAACAAAACGGUUAGCCAAACGUACAGUAGCUUUGCGAGUUUGUCAGCGUCUUCAUAUGCUAAAGGAAUUGGACGAUCUUCAUCUUCUCCCAGUCAGUCACCGUAACAUAGUAGUGCAGUGAAGUUUACCGAUGUGCGCAUCAAACUGAGAAGUAUUUUUGUUCUGCUAUUAAAGAAAAAGACAGUUCUCAACGAAAGGGGCAUUAAAAAUUUUGCUUUAAGGUGAAUAGCAAAAAGAAAAGAAAAAUAUGCUAAACGGUAUCAAGAAAUGCUGCACAGUUUACUACUGUAAUCGCGACUCGGACGCAAAGGUUUGAUAUCGACCAAUUCCGUCGGACUAUUGAGGCUCAUGGAUCGCAUCCUGACCAGAUGUUUGGAGGCUUCUUGGUGAGGACUAACGGGAGCCGAAUCAGAGCUUUAGAUUUUCUUUGUCAUAUCGGUCGCUACUUUUUCCCACCUGAAAUUUAAAAAAUGGGAACAAAUGAAAGGCAGAGAAAAAAAGUUGUUGAUUCGAUGCGCUCAAAUCCGUCACAAUUAGAGGUAUUUUCUCCUGUUCUUUGCUUCCUGCGUAAGCUUGUCAAUAAAAGGGUGAUCGAUCCACGUCAACCCCAUGUCCACCAAAUCAGAAAGUUUCUUCCAUUGCUCGCGGUUGUUCAAACACGUCUCAUAGAUAGGUUUGACCCAAGGGAAUGAUUCCGAUAGCGCCUUUUCCCCCCAAAAUUAGAAAGGUUGUCUUUCUCGUCUCGGUCCAUCAUUGCCUGUGACGACGGCAAAACCAAACUUAGUACGUUUAGACAAUCAACAAGAAACAUCUAAAAGAACAACACGUACAAUGGGCGUCUCAUUGAGCUGCAAUUUCUCCAUGUCACCCUGCUCGAAAAACUCUUCCGCAACUAGUUUAGCUACUCGAUGUUGAACGGACCACGGCUUAGCAAUGGCACUCACGUCACAACCAGUCAUCAUCAUCCCACACAGAUCCUGCCAAUUGAAUUCUCCGUUUUCCACCAUGUCGAUGAAACGAUUUUUUUUACGGAAGUAAACAGCCAAAUCGGUUGAAAGGAUGGCAUGCUCAAUCAGGUGCAUGGCUGUCCUGUACUGCACAGGAUAUUAUUGGAAUCCUCGCUAAGAAUCAUGAUACACUGAUCUAAAUGAUGGUGUUCCAUAGUAGAAGUUGAGUAGAGAAUAGCUAACGGAGACAUCACUUUCGACUUCCAAGGUGUCUUAUUACCUGGAAAGCAUUAUUGGUUCCACGGUGAUCCAAAUCGUGGCAUAAACAGGCAACCAGCAAACUCAAAAUCUACCCUAGCCAAACAGUCAAUAAAUUUGUCAUCAUGCGUACACGAGAGCGACGCAAAGAAGAAAACGUUUCCACUUGCAUCGAGAUCAGUCAUGAACUGCUCCAUUUUCCCUGUUCUGAGAAGCGAAAACAUCGUCUGGGCGACAUUCAACGCGUGACGCCAAUUGUGAUACUUGACAGGUCGAUAAUUUUUCUUCACGCUCAGGAUCCAACGACAAAGCACCUGCAUCCAAAACGAAAAUCAUUUCUUUAAACGUGGAUAUUAUCGAUCAACGCGAACGUGCUGACCUUGUAAGGUCCGAUAAUUCAAAAUCGAUGAAAUCGUAGCUGUAAAAAAGAACAACACUCAUCAGUGGAAACGCAUCGAAGUAAACCAAAGAAAAAGUACUUUGUGAGAUUGUAGUACUCGGUCGAGGGAACGACAUCAUUUUCUAGCUGUUCAACAUCUUCUUCAUUAGCACGUGAAUGAUGAAAGACGAACUGAUUACUACCUCUUCAUCCGAUGAUGUGAAUCCGUCGAGAGUCCCUUUCUUAUUAACCAUUUGCGCUACACCGACAACACCACCCUGGCGAUCAAGUAUAGGAAGACAGAGGAUGCUGUGUGUGACGUAACCGGUUCGCUUGUCUACUUCGGAAAGGAAACGUUCGUCCUGUGAUGUCCCGUCAAUCCGAGGUAAAUUCAAAGAGGAAAGAGACACGACAGCAUGCAAUCGAUUUCCUCAAUCAGUACUGGAUAACUCUUAACACACACACUAAACCCUCUCGGGCGUCUACAAUCCGCAGUCCUGAUUUGGUGAGGGCUACAUGGCCGGCUAUUCCGCUUCCUAGCGGUAUAGGUUGCGCUUCAAGGGCUGCCUUCAGCAAAGUAUCAUCGAAAUCUGUCAUUGAAAACCAUUAAUAAGAUUGGUUAUCGAGUUUUGGAACCAAUUUCCAUCUCCUUAGAUCUACUAUUAUGUUUAUUUAUUUUUAUUUUUUGUAAGGACUUGAUUUGAUUGCAAGACCUGCCCGUUUUCAAAG
Daphnia magna is the source of this 4432-nucleotide RNA transcript. It is a transcript of the gene named endoribonuclease Dicer, with no coding region annotated. NCBI's taxonomy places the organism in Eukaryota, Metazoa, Arthropoda, Branchiopoda, Diplostraca, Daphniidae. The record is from RefSeq and is a predicted model, not a curated record. The transcript is spliced from 23 exons.